Scophthalmus maximus (turbot) is the source of this 6075-nucleotide RNA transcript. It is a transcript of the gene named neuropilin (NRP) and tolloid (TLL)-like 1, like, with no coding region annotated. Lineage: Eukaryota; Metazoa; Chordata; Actinopteri; Pleuronectiformes; Scophthalmidae. The transcript has 12 exons. The record is from RefSeq and is a predicted model, not a curated record.
GGGGGCCACCCUGUUGUUUUCCAGGGGAUUUUUACGCACCGCGAAAAAAAAAAAGAGAGUCGAGAAGACGCCGCAGAGAUGAGUGUUGCGUGGUGUGACAUGCUCUUGAAGGAUCUCCUCUCCUGAUACAGAGGGCACACACAAAGAAAACAAAAAACAGGGCUGCCCCAUGAUAUUUCCCCAAAGAAGAUCGCAAAGGUGGAGCGAUUAGAGAAGGGCUGAUGACGGGACCAUUAAUCCUUUCAGUGCACCAGAAGCACCAAGGGGUAUUAGAAACGUUUGGAUGGAAAUCGGCCGAGGGCUUAGAACUGUUUUUGGUUUUGUAUGAAACUGGUGAUUAGUUGUUGUGGCACAUCUGCAAGGAUUUGGGCCUUUUUUUUCUUCUUUUCCCACUGAAGAUUUUAUUAAGGAGUAAAUUUGCCUCUCUCUCUCUCUCUCUCUCUCUCGCUCUCUCUUUUUUUUUCUUCUUCUUCUUCUUCUUCCCACCGAAAGGCUGUGUAUGGUAUUAGAGGUUCCCCGGUGUGAAUUUCCCGAAACUCAUCCCGAUCUUCUUCUUUUUUCCCCCCCCCCCUUUUCCAGUAUUCUUAAAUCUAAAUGGAAUUAGUUGAGACUGAAGCCGUUUGUGAAAGGAACAGACAUGGUACAUGGGCACGGCUUCCAUCACGUUGUUGCAAGUCUUCUCAUACUUGGGUUGUCUGGGGCAACAAAGAAGGAUACAGCAGUAAAAAACAAUUCGGGAGUGAAGCCUGCGGGUCAAUGUGGAACGUGGGUGAAAGAAUCAGAAGGAGGGCUCUUCACUUCUCCCAACUACCCAAACAAAUACCCCCCAGACAUAGAGUGUGUUUACAUCCUUGAAGCGCCCCCAAGGCAGUGUAUCGAUCUACAUUUUGAGGAGAAUUACUCGAUCGAGUCCUCUUGGGAAUGUAAAUUUGACAACAUCGAGGUUCGGGAUGGACCGUUUGGCUUCUCGCCAAUGCUCGGACGCUACUGUGGUCAGCACAACCCGCCUGACAUCAGGAGUAGCGGCCGAUACCUGUGGAUAAAAUUUGUCACCGACGGUGAACUGGAAGCGGUGGGAUUUUCAGCAAGUUACAACUUCACUGCAGAUCCGGACUUUGCAGACUUGGGAGUACCUCCACCUCUGCCCUCCUGUCAGUAUGACAUGGUUGGUCCAGAAGGUAUCGUUGAGUCUCAUCAGAUCACCAGAGACGGGAAGGCUGGCGCUGCCGAGGCCGUCGACUGUAAAUGGUACAUCCGCGCUCCGCCGCGCUCCAAGAUCUACCUGCGUUUCCUCGACUACGAGAUGGCCAAUUCCAACGAAUGCAAGCGCAACUUUGUGGCAGUGUAUGACGGCGGCAGCUCGGUGGAAGACCUCAAGAGCAAGUUCUGCUCCACGGUGGCCAAUGACAUCAUGCUGGUUUCCACACUGGGCGUCAUCCGCAUGUGGGCGGACGAGGCCAGUCGCAAGAGUCGCUUCCGCAUCCUUUUCACAACCUACCAAGAACCUCCUUGCGAUGCGGAUGCCUUCUUCUGUCACAGCAACAUGUGCAUAAACUACACACUGGUGUGCAAUGGCAUGCAAAACUGUGUCUACCCCUGGGAUGAGAACCAAUGUAAAGAGAAAAGGAAGACCAACAUCCUGGACAACCUGAACAACACAAACGGCACCAUCAUCGGCGUCACCUGUUGCAUCGUCCUCAUCCUCCUCAUCGUCUCCGUCAUCGUCCAGAUCAAGCAGCCCCGUAAAAAGUACAUCUUUCGGCGCGAGGACUUUGACCCCACCAUGUUCCAGGAGGUGUUUGAGCCGCCCCACUACGAGCUGUGCACUUUGCGGAGUGCCACCGCAGCCGCGGCGGCGUCAGCGGACUUAGUCGACCUGGCGGAAGACUUUGAGAACUACCACGCCCUUCGCCGUGCCUCCUCGCGCUGCAUCCACGAUCACCACUGUGGGUCCACCUCCAACCCUGGCUCCGCCCACAUAUCCCAGCUGUCGCUCAGUGGACGAGAGAGCCGCGGCAACAUGUGCGCCCGUGACGGAGGGGCCGCCACCCUGCUCACAGACCUCCCGCAGCCGUCCAUGGCGGUGCGGCCCUUGCUGCCGGCCACGGCGAACCGCAGGAGCAUCUUGGUCAUGAAGCACAGCUACUCGCAGGAGGCGGCGGACAAUGGAUGUGACCUGGACGACGACCUGGACGAAGUUCCCACCACCAGCCACCGGCUUUCACGCCAUGAAAAGGCAGUACAGCGGUUCUGCCUCAUUGGCUCUUUGAGCAAACAUGAAUCAGAGUACAACACAACUAGGGUCUAAGAGACAAUCUCAAGGUAAGCACCCUUAUCCAACAAUCAACAUCUCUAUAUGUUGUUGUGUAGUCAUCAUUCGCCCAGUCAGUAUAUACUUUUAUGUAAGUUGUUUAGUUUCUUUUUUUCCUUUUCUGUGAUUUUUGCACAAGUUUAUAUUUUUGUAUUAUUUCUGUUUUUUUAAUUGCUCUUUUUUUCACCAAGAUGGUUUUCUUGCUUGCGGCCAUCUUGCCCUCCCAGUGAGUUUGUUUGAAGUGUUUGUGAUGCUCAAAGUUUACUGUAUGUCCUCUUUGCCCGGGGACAUACAAUAUAUCACUUAUUGUGGAUAUUCAUCAGCAUGGACUUUUUCCGGCAUCCUUCGAUGCCGCUGUUGUCAAUUCAUAUGUCUAACCUCUUUUUCUCCCAGAUGACCAGUAGCAAAUCAUUUAUACCAACAACGUAAAAGUAGAAGCACAGAUUUGAAAGCAAACACAAAUCCCAGAUGUUUUACAUUGCGUCAGCGGGACGAUUUUUGCACACGUUAAAGAAAGCACACUGAGAUCAUUUGAGUAUCUCAUUAAUGUCUUUGUAAUUUACAAAUCUUUGCUAAUCACACAAUUACACAGACUUCCUCUAUUGUGCAUGAUUUAAGUCACUUGUGGUAUUUGAUUUUGUUUGUUUUUGUUUAUUGUGAAGCAUAAUGUGUGUGUGUAACACGUCAUGUGCAUGCUCCACAUCUGUGCUCUCAUGAAGUUACUAUAAGCAUAAUCUAAUAAAUUGAUAUAAUGAAUUAGCUUGCAUGAAUUGAUGACACAAAGAACUGACAAGAUCCUUUAAAUUCAGACAAAAGAAAAAAAAAGUCCUACUUGCAGCUUCAUGCCUGCAUAUGACAGAGCAGUCACAUAAAGUGCUACCCAUUGUUCCGUGUUUUAGUGUGACAAGUGUGCUGACCUUCUGUGUGUGUGUGUGUGUGUGUGUGUGUGUGUCUGCUCAUGUUCUACAUUGUGUCGCAUUGUCUCCAUCAUGUAGACUUCUUGAGAAUAGUGAAAUCCUGGAUCAGUACGAACGGGCGUCACUGACAUAUGAAAAAGCGGAGCGGAGAUUUACACCAGCAUGAUGAUGCUGAUGAUGAUGAAGGGACACUUUGGCAAAAGGAUACUGAAUAUGUGUUCACGCGCAAAGAGGAACACAAAGGACAGCUGCGACGCUGUUGAGUGGGGAAAGUUUUGGAAAUGGAUCAGCGCUGUGCUCUAUGUACUGUAGGCAGUCCAGAUUUUUUUCAUGUCUCACUGGAAAGAUAUGGACCUUUACAAUGAACAUGAUUAUUCUUUAUUGAACUUUAAAUUUGGGACGUUCGUCAGACACAUCUGUCUUUGUCAUAGAUUCCUCGCUGAUAACAACAUUUUAUGUGAUUAAACAUCUUCAUGUUCAUUUUUAAGCAUGUAUUUUUCAAAAUUAGUGGCACACAUAUUAUGAUUUUAACAGCAAACUUUAGAUGCAUGCAGUUUGUCAAUUUUGGGAAGAUUUAAGUUAUUAGUGAAAAUUAGAAUCAUACUCAAUUAAUUACUGACUUAAUUAGAUUUGAUAGUGUUGGAAUAACCAGAAGCAGUUUAAUUUAAGUAACUUGGUCCAGUUGUAUGGCUUGUGCAUGCUUCUUUUAUAUCCAUUUAAACAUUAACAUACUAACAAUAAUCCACUGAUACAUGAGUCAUAUAAGCAUUAGAAGUGGUCAAAAAAGCCAUCUUUACAAUUGAUUAAUUGCAUUGCAAGCAGUUUCUUAGCUAAAUCCUUAGAUAUAGUGAAUUGCACAAAUAAAUAUGACCAUUUUCAUCUUCACUCAAAAACCCUUUUUAAUAUGUUGACUAACUUUCUGACAAGCAGCUUACCUUUGGCAAAGAAUACGUUUUUGUUUCUUUGUAGUUUUUAUUUUUGCAAACAUAUUUACUUUGUUUAUCUUUUAUCUCUCUCUUUACUGUUAGAGCUUAAAAUCUUUGUAUUAAACAGACUUUUAUACUAGGGCAAAUUGAACGGACGACACUUUUUACAGUUACUCAAACUAUCUUUCAGGGCAGAUUUUCUUGAUGCUUUGUAAAAUAAAUAACAAUAAAUCUUCACAUUAUUCUUUUUCUUUGUUUGAUUGGCGUUUGGUCAGUCCCUUAAGUGUGUUCCUCAGACUGUCGGCAAGUGUCAUCCAUGUCUGCCAGUCAUGUUUUUAGAUUUUGUUGUGGUUGAUUUGUUUUAGAGGAAGACCCGAACCAAACCAAAUAGGAUUAGAUUCAUCAAGAUAGGACAAUGAAACAAAUUCUAGAGGGUUCAAAUAAUCCCAGGUAAUCACCGGUAUCUGACAGACGAGUUAAUUGACAUUUUCUGUUUGUCUUAAUGACAAUGUAUUUAGAAUUAGCUUCCCUCUCUAUGAACAAACGAUGUUGGUUUGUUUUAAAUACCCUGGUAUAUGUGGAAAAGUUACAAACCUAGAUCAGCUCUGAGCACAGUGACAUAACAACAUGUGAUUCAUACACCCUUGCAUAUGGCACGUUCAUUUUUCUUAUGCUCCGUCAUUGUCCAAAUACCUAUUUUUUUAAUUGUUACUGUGUAAAUGUUACAGUAUUUUCCAUCAUGUGCACAUUUUUUGCUGUAUUCAGUGUAAAGUAUUUUAUCCACUAUAUCCAUACUUUCCACUUUCUGGUCCUUCCAUUAACACAAAGUCAUGAACAGGCUCAUGUUCUGGCAGAUGCUGAAUAAAAUAUUGUUCGUUUUUCUUUUCUGCACUUUUCUUUGUUGUUCUGUGUGUUGUCUCUGUUUCACUGUUGUCAACACUUCUCUUACAGAGAGUAAAAAAAAAUUCAGAACAACUCACACAUAUACAUAUUUUAAUUCCUAUUUCUCUAACUCUGUUUCUCACACUCAGUGACUCUCUCUCUCACACACGCGCACGCACACACACACACACACACACACACAGUCACAACUCACAACUCAUCUGCCACUAUAUAGAUGGAGGAAGACACCUCAGUAAUUAAAUACAUCAGACAGAUGAAUCAUUCCUCAGCAUCUUGCCAAGUCUGACAGCAUUUCGGCGCUAAGGUUUCUCACCUUUCGGCAUCUUGACUGAACUGUUGCCCCCGAGCAACGUUACCAAUGUAGAAUGUUGUGAUGAGAACAUGAAAAAAAUAAAAUAAAAUAAAGGUUUGUGGUGUAUUGCAUCAAGUUUUAUGUCUUUGCUUUUGGACCACAGAGAUGCAUUUUCCCUACCGGUGCUCCACGACCGACUGAAAUUUACAAGCCAUGGGACACUGAUUAUUUCAGAUACGUGAAUAUUUUUUUAAUUUUUUUUUUUGGAAGGGGGGAGAAAUGACAAUACCUUUAACGUAAAAGUAUUCAUGAAGAAAACAACAAAAUUCAGGGUUUUUCCCAAUCAUUUUCAUGUAACCAAUAAAAUAUGAAAUUGCAUAUUUCAGCUGCUGAAUUGAAAUGAGAUUUCUUAUUUUGAUGUCAUGCCGGGUUGUUUUUAAAGGUUUAAUUGAGAGCCCUGUUGAGAAGACAACAGAACAGGAUGUAUGAAAUGAAGCGAUGUGAAACUUCACAAACGGGUGCAAAAAUGAUUCCACUGACCCAUCGACUAACCUUCAUUCAUUCCCAUGUUUACUGAUGUCUGAACAUUGCUUAUGUUUUUUGUCUUUGUCCUUGUCAAAUUUGAUUGCAUUGUGGGUUUUUUAAUACAUUUGGCGAUUUAUUUGAUAACACAUUAGGGAGAGAAAAUGCUGGACAGAAUGUUUUCAAUAAACUAAUGUUUACUGA